CUUCUGCGAUUUCUGUGACUUCUGCCACUUCUGCGAUUUCUGUGAUUCCUGCGAUUUCUGCGACUUACCACCGUAUGAAAAAGUUACAUCUGUCAACACAGAAAAUUGCAUCUCAACAAACCUGUCAUUGGUACCUGAACUACAUUUCAGUCACUCAGUAAAGUGAUAACUCAAAAUAUCAUUGUCAACAGAUCUGAAGAAAUUGUCACUGCGUCCUUAGACCGUUUUCGUCAGACGAGAGACACAGUUCUGACUCUGAUUACUGGUUGCUGUACGUAUCUAUCCACAUCAAGGCUGUUUUUGAGAGAGACUCGUGAAGAUUCAAGACAGCUCUUAGAGGAUUUGCAGUUUAAAAGUGAAAUAAUUGUGAAAUAAGUGUGUGAAUGAUUAAACUGUGUUUUAUUGAAGUUGUUGUGCGAUUUUAAAGGAAUAAUAAAUGUCAAAUACAGUGAGUGAAUAAUAAAAAUCUCA
This is a long non-coding RNA of Schistocerca cancellata (South American locust), 471 nucleotides long. RefSeq lists it as uncharacterized. NCBI's taxonomy places the organism in Eukaryota, Metazoa, Arthropoda, Insecta, Orthoptera, Acrididae. The record is from RefSeq and is a predicted model, not a curated record. The transcript is spliced from 3 exons.